GACGAACGCUGGCGGCGUGCUUAACACAUGCAAGUCGAACGGAAAGGCCCUGCUUUUGUGGGGUGCUCAAGUGGCGAACGGGUGAGUAACACGUGAGUAACCUGCCCUUGACUUUGGGAUAACUUCAGGAAACUGGGGCUAAUACCGGAUAGGAGCUCCUGCUGCAUGGUGGGGGUUGGAAAGUUUCGGCGGUUGGGGAUGGACUCGCGGCUUAUCAGCUUGUUGGUGGGGUAGUGGCUUACCAAGGCUUUGACGGGUAGCCGGCCUGAGAGGGUGACCGGCCCCAUUGGGACUGAGAUACGGCCCAGAGUCCUACGGGAGGCAGCAGUGGGGAAUAUUGCACAAUGGGCGGAAGCCGUAUGCAGCAACGCCGCGUGCGGGAUGACGGCCUUCGGGUUGUAAACCGCUUGCGCCUGUGACGAAGCGUGAGUGACGGUAAUGGGUAAAGAAGCACCGGCUAACUACGUG
Molecule: ribosomal RNA, 468 nt
Filed under: uncultured bacterium
Lineage: Bacteria
Description: partial 16S ribosomal RNA
Rfam family: Bacterial small subunit ribosomal RNA
Source: RNAcentral